Eucalyptus grandis is the source of this 654-nucleotide long non-coding RNA. RefSeq lists it as uncharacterized. The transcript has 3 exons. The record is from RefSeq and is a predicted model, not a curated record. NCBI's taxonomy places the organism in Eukaryota, Viridiplantae, Streptophyta, Magnoliopsida, Myrtales, Myrtaceae.
GCUUUCGAAGUUCUUUGACUCCUAGAGUGGUGGAAGGUUUAAUUUGUACUCAAGAUUGGUUAAGAGUUGUUCGCGUGCCAAUUAAUGUUGAAGAGUGCAUCGAGAAUGCGGAACAAUUUGAGGCGGAUUUGGAUUGUCUUACCAAGGACAUUAUCAUUGGAAAAUAAACUUCAUUUUGUCGAAACUCCAAUUUUGUGAGAUUUUGUACCACGUGGAACGCAAGGCCGAAGAAGGAGAAGAAGAUCGAGCACAUGAAGGACAAGGUUGAUAUGUGAUCAGCCAAAAAUUGUAUUACAACUAGUUAAUUGGCUAAAUUGCUAGCUUGUAUAUUACUGGAAUAUGAGAAACUCGAUGUAUUUUGUGGGAUAUGGGGAUGCGAGAUGGUCGAAUUAUAUACUUGGUUGUUUUCUUCAAGGGGAGUCCAAAUUUUAUACAUGUUCCCAAUGAGUUUGGUCGAAGGAUGUGCUUGGUCCGGCCUUUUUGUUUCAGCAGAUAACUUAUCUAGACUUGCUUUUCUAAGGUUAAUUUUUAUGCAAAACAGGGUCCAAUGAAAACAGGGUCAACCCUGUUCCCAGACCAGAAAAACAGGGUGGGCCGGGAACAGGGUCCAAUGAAAACAGGGUAGGGAACAUGGUCCAAAAAAGGAGAACCGGU